RNAcentral lists this ribosomal RNA (186 nucleotides) under uncultured bacterium. RNAcentral describes it as "partial 16S ribosomal RNA". It matches the Rfam family "Bacterial small subunit ribosomal RNA", at positions 1314 to 1500 of the family's 1533-position model. The record is from RNAcentral.
CCUUCCAUGAAGCCGGAAUUGCUAGUAAUGGCAGGUCAGCAUACUGCCGUGAAUACGUUCCCGGGCCUUGUACACACCGCCCGUCACACCAUGAGAGUUGGGAAUACCCGAAGCCUGUGAGCUAACUUAUAGAGGCAGCAGUCGAAGGUAGAAUCAAUGAUUGGGGUGAAGUCGUAACAAGGUACC